RNAcentral lists this ribosomal RNA (1306 nucleotides) under uncultured bacterium. Its description in RNAcentral is "bacterial SSU rRNA". It matches the Rfam family "Bacterial small subunit ribosomal RNA", at positions 28 to 1381 of the family's 1533-position model. The record is from RNAcentral.
AACGUACGCUGGCGGCACGCCUAACACAUGCAAGUCGAACGAAGUAGCAAUACUUAGUGGCAGACGGGUGAGUAACAUGUAGGUAUCUGCCCUUUGGCCUGGAAUAACACGAGGAAACUUGUGCUAAUACCGGAUAAGUCUUUACGGAGAAAGCUUUAUGCACCAUUGGAUGAGCCUGCACUUGAUUAGUUUGUUGGUGGGGUAAUGGCCUACCAAGACUGUGAUCAAUAGCUGAUUUGAGAGGAUGAUCAGCCACAUUGGGACUGAGACACGGCCCAAACUCCUACGGGAGGCAGCAGUGGGGAAUCUUGCACAAUGGAGGAAACUCUGAUGCAGCGAUGCCGCGUGAGUGAAGAAGGCCCUUGGGUUGUAAAGCUCUUUCGUCGGGGAAGAAAAUGACUGUACCCGAAUAAGAAGGUCCGGCUAACUUCGUGCCAGCAGCCGCGGUAAUACGAAGGGACCUAGCGUAGUUCGGAAUUACUGGGCUUAAAGAGUUCGUAGGUGGUUGAAAAAGUUAGUGGUGAAAUCCCAGAGCUUAACUCUGGAACUGCCAUUAAAACUUUUCAGCUAGAGUAUGAUAGAGGAAAGCAGAAUUUCUAGUGUAGAGGUGAAAUUCGUAGAUAUUAGAAAGAAUACCAAUUGCGAAGGCAGCUUUCUGGAUCAUUACUGACACUGAGGAACGAAAGCAUGGGUAGCGAAGAGGAUUAGAUACCCUCGUAGUCCAUGCCGUAAACGAUGUGUGUUAGACGUUGGAAAUUUAUUUUCAGUGUCGCAGGGAAACCGAUAAACACACCGCCUGGGGAGUACGACCGCAAGGUUAAAACUCAAAUGAAUUGACGGGGACCCGCACAAGUAGUGGAGCAUGUGGUUUAAUUCGAAGAUACGCGCAGAACCUUACCAACACUUGACAUGUUCGUCGCGACUCUAAGAGAUUAGAGUUUUCGGUUCGGCCGGACGAAACACAGGUGCUGCAUGGCUGUCGUCAGCUCGUGUCGUGAGAUGUUGGGUUAAGUCCCGCAACGAGCGCAACCCUCACUUUUAGUUGCCAUCAUUUAGUUGGGCACUCUGAAAGAACUGCCAGUGAUAAGCUGGAGGAAGGUGGGGAUGACGUCAAGUCCUCAUGGCCCUUACGUGUUGGGCUACACACGUGCUACAAUGGUAUCUACAACAGGAAGCAAAACUGCGAAGUUAAGCAAAUCCCUAAAAGAUACCUCAGUUCGGAUUGCACUCUGCAACUCGAGUGCAUGAAGCUGGAAUUACUAGUAAUCGUGAAUCAGCGUGCCACGGUGAAUGCGUUCCCGGGUCU